GACGAACGCUGGCGGCGUGCUUAACACAUGCAAGUCGAACGAAGUGGCGAACGGGUGAGUAACGCGUAAUCAACCUGCCCUUCAGAGGGGGACACCAGUUGGACACGACUGCUAAUACCGCAUACUGUAGCAGGGGUUUGCGUCUGCUUAGCUAGUUGGAGGGGUAACGGCCCACCAAGGCGAUGAUCAGUAGCAUGUCUGAGAGAAUGAACGGCCACAUUGGGACUGAGACACGGCCCAGACUCCUACGGGAGGAAGCAGGGGGGAAUCGUCCGAAAGUGACGAAAGUCUGACGGAGCAACGCAGCGUGAGUGAUGACGGCCUUCGGGUUGUAAAGCUCUGUUAAUCGGGACGCGGUACCGGAAUAGAAAGCCACGGCUAACUACGUGCCAGCAGCCGCGGUAAUUC
This 408-nucleotide ribosomal RNA is filed under the name uncultured bacterium. RNAcentral describes it as "partial 16S ribosomal RNA". It matches the Rfam family "Bacterial small subunit ribosomal RNA", at positions 28 to 526 of the family's 1533-position model. The record is from RNAcentral.